UCAGAAAGGAGGAACACCCCAUCUCAAGUCUCCAAAACUUAAAUUUUUAUAAACUACUUUCUG
Molecule: transfer RNA, 63 nt
Filed under: Baetis sp. PC-2010
Lineage: Eukaryota; Metazoa; Arthropoda; Insecta; Ephemeroptera; Baetidae
Description: tRNA-Pro
Source: RNAcentral